AGCGAACGCUGGCGGUAGGCCUAACACAUGCAAGUCGAACGGCAGCACAGUAAGAGCUUGCUCUUACGGGUGGCGAGUGGCGGACGGGAGAGGAAUACAUCGGAAUCUACUUUUUCGUGGAGGAUCACGUAGGGAAACUUACGCUAAUACCGCAUACGCCCUACGGGUGAAAGCAGGGGAUCUUCGCACCUUGCGCGAUUGAAUGCGCCGAUGUCGGUUUAGCUAGUUGGCGGGGUAAAGGCCCACCUAGGCGCCGAUCCGUAGCUGGUCUGAGUGGAUGGUAGGCGGCAUGAGAACGGGGACAGGGUCCAGACGCCUACGAGAGGGAGCAGAGGGGAAUGGUGGGCAAUGGGCGCAAGCCUGACCCAGCGAGAGCGAGUGGGAUAAGAAGGCCUUGGGGUUGUAAAGCCCGUUUGUUGGGUAAGAAAAGCAGCAGGUUAAUACCCCGCUGGUGUGACGGUACCCAAUGAAGAAGCACCGGCUAACUACGUG
RNAcentral lists this ribosomal RNA (492 nucleotides) under uncultured bacterium. RNAcentral's name for it is "partial 16S ribosomal RNA". It matches the Rfam family "Bacterial small subunit ribosomal RNA", at positions 30 to 507 of the family's 1533-position model. The record is from RNAcentral.